Molecule: small RNA, 72 nt
Filed under: Flaviramulus basaltis
Lineage: Bacteria; Pseudomonadati; Bacteroidota; Flavobacteriia; Flavobacteriales; Flavobacteriaceae
Description: Flavo-1 RNA
Rfam family: Flavo-1 RNA
Source: Rfam by way of RNAcentral
UCGUGUUAAGGAUAGACGUGGCAUCCUUUUUUGAGGCACGAAAAAAAGAUAGAACAGAUAGCCUGACUUUUG